Molecule: small RNA, 414 nt
Filed under: Pongo abelii (Sumatran orangutan)
Lineage: Eukaryota; Metazoa; Chordata; Mammalia; Primates; Hominidae
Description: processed transcript
Source: RNAcentral
GGCAUGUCGGGCCCCAGGCCUGUGGUGCUGAGCGGGCCUUCGGGAGCUGGGAAGAGCACCCUGCUGAAGAGGCUGUUCCAGGAGCACAGCGGCAUCUUUGGCUUCAGCGUGUCCCGUGAGUCCAGGGCUCUUGUGGAGGGAUACCACAAGGAACCCGAGGCCCGGCGAGGAGAACGGCAAAGGGAGGUGAUGCAGCGUGACAUAGCAGCCGGCGACUUCAUCGAGCAUGCCGAGUUCUCGGGGAACCUGUAUGGCACGAGCAAGGCGGCGGUGCAGGCCGUGCAGGCCAUGAACCGCAUCUGCGUGCUGGACGUGGACCUGCAGGGUGUGCGGAACAUCAAGGCCACCGAUCUGCGGCCCAUCUACAUCUCUGUGCAGCCGCCUUCACUGCAUGUGCUGGUGUGUGCUGGGCAG